Molecule: transfer RNA, 70 nt
Filed under: Salmo salar (Atlantic salmon)
Lineage: Eukaryota; Metazoa; Chordata; Actinopteri; Salmoniformes; Salmonidae
Rfam family: tRNA
About the family: Transfer RNA (tRNA) molecules are approximately 80 nucleotides in length.
Source: Rfam by way of RNAcentral
CCCUAUCUAGCUCAGUUGGUAGAGCAUGGUGCUUGCAAUGCCAGGGUUGUGGGUUCGAUUCCCACAGGGG